RNAcentral lists this ribosomal RNA (424 nucleotides) under uncultured prokaryote. Its description in RNAcentral is "bacterial SSU rRNA". It matches the Rfam family "Bacterial small subunit ribosomal RNA", at positions 355 to 796 of the family's 1533-position model. The record is from RNAcentral.
UGGGGAAUAUUGGACAAUGGGCGCAAGCCUGAUCCAGCCAUGCCGCGUGAGUGAAGAAGGCCUUAGGGUUGUAAAUCUCUUUCACCCGCGAAGAUGAUGACGGUAGCGGGAGAAGAAGCCCCGGCUAACUCCGUGCCAGCAGCCGCGGUAAUACGGAGGGGGCGAGCGUUGUUCGGAAUUACUGGGCGUAAAGGGCGCGUAGGCGGAGCGUCAAGUCAGAGGUGAAAGGCCUGGGCUCAACCUGGGAACUGCCUUUGAAACUGGCGCACUGGAGUCCGGGAGAGGAUGGCGGAAUUCCCAGUGUAGAGGUGAAAUUCGUAGAUAUUGGGAAGAACACCGGUGGCGAAGGCGGCCAUCUGGUCCGGUACUGACGCUGAGGCGCGAAAGCGUGGGGAGCAAACAGGAUUAGAUACCCCCGUAGUCC